Molecule: ribosomal RNA, 719 nt
Filed under: uncultured bacterium
Lineage: Bacteria
Description: bacterial SSU rRNA
Rfam family: Bacterial small subunit ribosomal RNA
Source: RNAcentral
CCUACGGGAGGCAGCAGUAAGGGAUAUUGCACAAUGGACGCAAGUCUGAUGCAGCAACGCCGCGUGCCCGAUGAAGGCCUUCGGGUCGUAAAGGGCUUUUCUGGCUGAAGAAAGAGACUGUAAGCCAGGAAUAAGUGUCGGCUAACUACGUGCCAGCAGCCGCGGUAAAACGUAGGACGCGAGCGUUAUCCGGAGUUACUGGGCGUAAAGCGCGGGCAGGCGGUCUGACAAGUCUGAUGUGAAAUCUCCGGGCUUAACCGGGAGAGGCCAUUGGAAACUGACAGGCUGGAGGGCAGUAGAGGUAGGCGGAAUUCCGGGUGGAGUGGUGAAAUGCGUAGAGAUCCGGAGGAACACCAGAGGCGAAGGCGGCCUACUGGGCUGCACCUGACGCUGAGCCGCGAAAGCCAGGGGAGCGAACGGGAUUAGAAACCCCGGUAGUCCUGGCCGUAAACGAUGUGUGCUGGAUGGUGGGGGGUAAAACCUCCGCUGUCGAAGCUAACGCGAUAAGCACACCGCCUGGGGAGUACGGCCGCAAGGCUAAAACUCAAAGGAAUUGACGGGGGCCCGCACAAGCAGCGGAGCGUGUGGUUUAAUUCGAGGCAACGCGAAGAACCUUACCUGGGCUUGACAUAAUAGUGGUAGGGAACCGAAAGGGGACCGACCUUCGGGAGCUAUUACAGGGUGCUGCAUGGCUGUCCGUCAGCUCGUGCCGUGAGGUG